UGGAAUUACAAAAUGAAACACAGUAUCACAACAGCAGCAUCUCUUCGAAAAUAUUUUAAUCAACUGGUAGUUCAGGGUUUUUUUUAAAAAUAACUUUCUUAAACUUUGGCAUUAUGAUGUCAGUUAAAGCAGGAAAUAGGUUUUCAGAAAGCUGUGAAUCAACAGUUUGCUGUGAUCAUAAAGAAUGAUCAGAAUUAACAUGCUUAUAUUAAUAAACGCACCUCUAAAAUCAGAAAUGUUAUGGCACAGGACAAUUCCAAAUAUAAGAACAAAUGAGUAACGUCAAAGACACACUACCAAGUUAUACUCCAAUGGAUGUCUUAGGAGGACUUAAAAUAAGCAUCAACAAUUCUUAAUUAAAAUGUAAAGUGAAAAUUAAAUCAUCUUUGAGUUUUGUGACACCUACUGCUUUCGAGCCUACUCCCUUUCAGGGGAGUCACUGCAAAUGCUGCAUAGAGAGAGACAACAGUAAGGGUGUUGGUUUAAUUAGCAAGCAGAGCUUUUACUUCACAUUAAUCAAUCAAAAGUGUUUUCAACUAUAAAGUGUCACAGCAGCACUGAAGUGUGUGAAGUUGGGCACUCUGCUGGCAAAAGGAGCUGGCACUAGAGGGCUCCCUGUGCCCAUGGCUUUGCUCUCACACUGUCAGUGGAAGUGAUAUAGCCUCAUUUAGGCUUCUCAAUUUGUGUAAUUCACUGUAUGCCACAGUACCCACAUAAAAACCUUCUGUUUUGCCAACACAGGUGACUAAGGAGCUGCCUGAGGAAAAGUGGGACACUUCACAGCAGGCCUUUGUAGGAAAAAAUCACUUAAACUGAAUAGAUCUACACAAAUGGAAGUGUCAGCCCUGGAAUCACAACCUACAAGACAUUUUUGCUUUCUUGGCUUGUUCUACUAUUUUGUGUACAGAGCAGCACUGGAAAAGUGAUGCAUCAUCUGGACCGUAAAGUAGAUCUUGUAUUUGAACCCAACUGUACAUGCUGGCCUAAAUAUAUACAAAUGGAAGUUAAUAAAUCACAGAUGGCACAAUGAAGAUGAAAACUGUGACUUCAAUCUUCCAGAUGCACUCUCUAACAUCUAUGGUGAACUUUCUUGGCAGAUGUUUAUGUAAAAUGUUAUGUUACCAAAGAAUACAACACACAGUGAACAGAGAUUGCUGUCCUCCAACAGCCUCUUAAUCAUGUCUGUAAGAGAUUCACAUGGUGGUGUCAAGAGAUUUUACAUCAGGAGCCUUGGAGCUGGACUUGUGGACUAUUUCUGAACCUGUUGGAGACUUUGACCUUCUGCAGGUAAGUUCUUGUAGACACAGACCAGGUCAAAAAUGCCUUGCUCAUUUCUCCAAUUAUUUGACAGUUUAUAGCUUUCCUAUAACAUUCCUGUGUUUUCUGUGAAUGCUCAGGACUUGAACUGUGGAGGAUUACACAGAACUUGGUCUACUGCAUCUUUCAGAAGUGAGCAGGGAGGAAGCUGGAUGACAGCUCUCCCCCUCCUCAGGUCUGGGACAUCAGUCGUGGCCCCUGACAGCAGAUCCAUGUGUUUGUGUACAAAAGCUGCUUAUUUGGUUCCCAAGUUUUUUGCUCACUUAUUAUCCCAAAUUCCACUCUGAAGAAGCACUCCAGGGGAGAGGAAGAAAAAUACAGGUAGGCACCUUAAGCGAUUUCUUACAUU
Long non-coding RNA from Motacilla alba alba, 1666 nucleotides. RefSeq lists it as uncharacterized. The transcript is spliced from 4 exons. NCBI's taxonomy places the organism in Eukaryota, Metazoa, Chordata, Aves, Passeriformes, Motacillidae. The record is from RefSeq and is a predicted model, not a curated record.